RNAcentral lists this ribosomal RNA (253 nucleotides) under uncultured bacterium. RNAcentral's name for it is "partial 16S ribosomal RNA". It matches the Rfam family "Bacterial small subunit ribosomal RNA", at positions 524 to 776 of the family's 1533-position model. The record is from RNAcentral.
UACAGAGGGUGCAAGCGUUAAUCGGAAUUACUGGGCGUAAAGCGCGCGUAGGUGGUUUGUUAAGUUGGAUGUGAAAUCCCCGGGCUCAACCUGGGAACUGCAUCCAAAACCGGCAAGCUAGAGUAUGGUAGAGGGUGGUGGAAUUUCCUGUGUAGCGGUGAAAUGCGUAGAUAUAGGAAGGAACACCAGUGGCGAAGGCGACCACCUGGACUGAUACUGACACUGAGGUGCGAAAGCGUGGGGAGCAAACAGG